AAAAAGUUAGACAAAUGUGUUGUGAUUGUAGCUUUCUUAUUUAAAUCUAUAGAAAUCUAGUAUAUUUGGGUUUAUUUAAAGGACAAAUACCAAGUGGUAGAUACCACCAAUAUUAUUCUAAGGGGUAUCUACAUCAAUGUGAACAUGUGCUGUCAUAUACACUGAUUUCAAAUGCUUCACAAUGACUCGUUCUCUUUUGCCAUGUGAUCAGGAAUAUGCCAUAAUGAUACAGAGGAGGAUAUUUAUCAAAGUGUUCUGAAAACUGAUGGUUAAAUUCCAUCUGAGUUUGAACAUAUUUCCGAAAAAAUUUUUUUUUUAAAAAUGAAUGUUUUGUUUAUAUGAAAUUACACCUGACUCUGCAGAAAUUUCCAAUUCAGAUAUCACUGAAUUUAGAGGAAAAGAAUUGAAACAAAAUUCAUUUAUGUCAGAAAAAGUUAUUCAUAAAUCUGUUGUGUUGCUGAACAAAAUGGCAUGUAUUCAAAAAUUAUGGUUAGGGUACAAAAAAAAAGCAAUAGAUAAAAAAAGAAUUGAUAGGUUUCAUAAAUUGCACCAAAUAUUUACCAUAGUUUAGGCAGAAAAGUGUCGGUGACACAUUUAUAAAUCUCCCCUAUUGUACCCUAACUCUGCAGCAGCUAUUAUUCUAGAAAGCAUUGUGUCUUACAUCAGCAAUGAGGGAACACUGGGGAAAAGCUCACACAUUAAAAAGUAACAUUUAUUUAAAGGGAGACUCCAGACCCCUUAAAGCAAUUUAGUUCGCUAAAAAGUCUUAUGUGCGAAGAGUGUAUCCCCUUUAUUUCAAUAGAAAUUGACACUUUUAUAAAUGAACCUGGUUACACCCCCUUGGCUUCCAAUCAGACAUGUCUUGUUACUUCCUGGUAUAGUUAGCUCAGUGGAGCUAAGUUCAAGAGGCAGCAAUUGCUCAGAGCACCUGCCUUGCAAAGACUUCUCAUUGAGCUGCUUGGGGAAGUCUGUGAUUGGACAGCCACAAAAAGUCUGGGCGGGGUUUGAAAAGGCAGCAGACAAGAGAACUUCAGGUUUCACCGUCAAUGAAAAAAUACAUAUUAAAUGCAUGCACAUUUUAAUUUAGGGUAUAUCUACUAAACAGUGAUUUGUAUUUAUUUUGUAUUUGAGCAAUGGAGUGUCCCUUUAAUGUUCACAUAUUCCAGCCACCUGUAAGAAUGUAUCACAGUCAGAUGCCUUAAAAAAUUAUAACUUCCUGAAAGUAAUAUUGUCAUAAUGAUUAUCUUUAUUAAAGGUCUUUAUUUACAAUAACUGCUUAUUUUAAAAUCUCUCUUAAGACUGGUAUUUGAGUAAAAUCGUUGUAUCAGUUUAGCAGUCUUUAUGAC
Molecule: non-coding RNA, 1346 nt
Organism: Pelobates cultripes (western spadefoot toad)
Lineage: Eukaryota; Metazoa; Chordata; Amphibia; Anura; Pelobatidae
Source: the annotation of a GenBank genome assembly